AGUGGCGCACGGGUGAGUAACGUUGUAGGUAAUCUACCUCUGCAUCUGGGAUAACACUUCGAAAGGGGUGCUAAUACCGGAUACACUUAUGAAUCGCAAGGUUGAUAAGGAAAGGAGACCUCUCCUUGGAAGUUUCUGUGUAGAGAUGAGCCUGCGUCCCAUUAGCUAGUUGGUAGGGUAAUGGCCUACCAAGGCUACGAUGGGUAGCGGGUCUGAGAGGAUGAUCCGCCACACUGGAACUGAAACACGGACCAGACUCCUACGGGAGGCAGCAGUGAGGAAUAUUGGACAAUGGGCGCAAGCCUGAUCCAGCGACGCCGCGUGAGCGAUGAAGGCCUUUGGGUCGUAAAGCUCUGUCAGCAGGGAAGAAUGGCCGUGUGGUUAAUACCCAUGCGGAUUGACGGUACCUGCAGAGGAAGCACCGGCUAACUCCGUGCCAGCAGCCGCGGUAAUACGGAGGGUGCGAGCGUUAAUCGGAAUUACUGGGCGUAAAGGGCGCGUAGGCGGCCAAUCAAGUCAGGUGUGAAAGCCCACGGCUUAACCGUGUGAAGUGCAUCUGAAACUGGUUGGCUUGAGUAUCGGAGAGGAAAGUGGAAUUCCCGGUGUAGAGGUGAAAUUCGUAGAUAUCGGGAGGAAUACCGGUGGCGAAGGCGACUUUCUGGACGAAUACUGACGCUGAGGCGCGAAAGCGUGGG
RNAcentral lists this ribosomal RNA (695 nucleotides) under uncultured bacterium. RNAcentral's name for it is "bacterial SSU rRNA". It matches the Rfam family "Bacterial small subunit ribosomal RNA", at positions 94 to 765 of the family's 1533-position model. The record is from RNAcentral.